RNAcentral lists this long non-coding RNA (1600 nucleotides) under Anolis carolinensis (green anole). RNAcentral's name for it is "lncRNA (ENSACAG00000037808.1)". The record is from RNAcentral. Lineage: Eukaryota; Metazoa; Chordata; Lepidosauria; Squamata; Anolidae.
AUGUCUACCGGAACCGUGCCGGGUGGGCAGCCGCUUACCUACACCAUCGACAAGGAUGAGGUGGACCGAAUCCGUGAUAAGCUCAAUGCACAGGAUGGGGAAAUAAAGGGUUUGAAGGAACGCGGAAUCCGUCUUCCGGCCAUGGCGUUGCCAACCAAGUUUACUGGAGAAGCUUCUAAGGUUCAUGUUUUCCGUCGCCAAUGUCAAGCUUAUCUAGAGGCCCGUGCUGCCGAGUUUCCCCAAGAAGACAUCAAGGUGGCGUGGAUUUACAGUCUCCUAGACGGGCCAGCGGCCAACUGGGCGACGGAAAACAUGAACCUUGGAAACCUCUCCAGAAAACUUGGUGGGCAACGCCAGGGCAGGGAGACGGGCUCCACGUUCCUUCAAGCCCCGUAUUUCUCCCUCCUGCGCAUGGAACAUAUCACGGAUCCUGUCCACUUCAUCCUUGGCGAUGGUGUAGCUGAGUGGUUGGUCACCCGGUCCGGCUCCGGUAGACAUUCUGGCCUAGGUUAAAUGGUGCUUAGGGUGGCGGAGUCAAACUGUCACGACCCAGGCUGCAGAGCACCAAUAACCAUACACAGAGGCCAGAAUCUAUCUAAUAUCUUUAUUGAGGAAAUAUAUAACGUUAAUAAAAGCAAGUGUAGGAAAUAGUUCAGAAGUAGAUCUUUCAGGAAAGGUCAAAAUUAGUCCAGAGAAACAAUGUCCAAUAUGAGAUAUUAAGGUCCAAAGUUGUAAUCCAAUAACCGAAACACUCACUUUGCCAAGCAAAGUGAGGGGAGAAGACAAGGUCCUUUAGUCCAUGAAACUUAGGCAAGGCAAGGAAAUAACUUGAUUAUUGGAUACAAGGCUUAAUUCAAGGCAACAAAGAACAAGGAGCAAAAACAGGAUCCGUGGUAAAUUCGUGGCGAGGUCAAGGAAGGCAAGGCUGGGUCCGCGAAGCAAAACAAGGUCCUGGGAAGCAAGCAAGGCUGGAAACGGGAGCGUAGUCCACACACAACCUACUCCCGUAGUUGACGAAUUGACUCCGCAAGAUUCCUACGAGGGCAAAACACCUAAGUAGGGUCUCGGUUUCCCGCCAAGAGCAGAUUCUCUGGGGAACCAGAAGCGAAAGCCAUUCUCUGGGUCCAGAUGCAUGACUCCUUAAAGUUUCUCAUGGGAAACAGGCUAAUCAACCAUUUGUUUGGCCGCGAUUCUCAGGCUUCUGCGAUUAGCCUGUUGAGCUCCUCUCUGUUGUUGACAAUAAUCACAGCGAGAAAAAGGGGGAGAUUUUGGCUCAGGGCUUGUUUGGCAAACUUCUGGAAGGCAAACCUCCUGCAGGUGCAAGGGUUCCAGUUCUGGCUGAGAAAGUUCCAAUUCUGACUGAAACAGAGGAAAACCUAAGUUUUCCUCUUCAUCUGUCACAACAGCGCUAGGAACGGGACUACAUGGCCCAUGAGUCAUCACAUGUUCAGAAGUUUUUCCCCUGACGUUAAGUCCAGUCGUGUCCGACUCUGGGGAUUGGUGCUCAUCUCCAUUUCUAAGCCGAAGAGUCGGUGUUGUCCGUAGACUCCUCCAAGGUCAUGUGGGAUGACUGCAUGGAGCGGCAUUACCUUCCUGCCGG